RNAcentral lists this transfer RNA (76 nucleotides) under Acinetobacter baumannii 1031433. Its description in RNAcentral is "tRNA-Phe". It matches the Rfam family "tRNA". From Rfam's summary of the family: Transfer RNA (tRNA) molecules are approximately 80 nucleotides in length. Their secondary structure includes four short double-helical elements and three loops (D, anti-codon, and T loops). The record is from RNAcentral. Lineage: Bacteria; Pseudomonadati; Pseudomonadota; Gammaproteobacteria; Moraxellales; Moraxellaceae.
GGCGUGAUAGCUCAGUUGGUAGAGCAACGGAUUGAAAAUCCGUGUGUCCCAAGUUCGAUCCUGGGUCUCGCCACCA